UCUGAAUUUAAUAUUAGAGAUGGUUUGAUUAAUAAUUAUUUUGCAAGAUUAUAACUUUUUUAUGGCAUGGGUGUAUGGGUGGUAUGGUGAAGGACUAACAUAUUCUAUACUGUUUAUAUUGCUUAUUGCAUGCCUUUGGUAAAGAAAUAAAAUAUUUGACAAAAAUAAUAUGCCUUUACUAACUGAAUUACAGCCUACAGAUUUUAUUAAUUUAGACCAAAAGUUAACUUCAUUGACAACAAACAGAAAACUAGUUUUCUCUAAAUUUAAUUUUAUACUAAUAUGUGAGAUACAUAGUUUAAUUAUUAUUAUUUUGCAAGGUAUGUUAAUAUUUAGAUUAUUUUUAACUUCAAAGAAAACAAAUCUCAAAUUAUAAUUUUAAAGCUGUCUUAUUUUCAGAUUAUAACUAUUUUAUGGUAUGGAUGUGAAAUAUGGUGAAGGAUUAACAUAAUAUAUUGCUAUUGCAUGCUUUUGGUGGAGAAAUAAAAUGUUUGACAAAAAUAA
Pieris napi is the source of this 504-nucleotide long non-coding RNA. RefSeq lists it as uncharacterized. The transcript has 2 exons. Lineage: Eukaryota; Metazoa; Arthropoda; Insecta; Lepidoptera; Pieridae. The record is from RefSeq and is a predicted model, not a curated record.